This 66-nucleotide transfer RNA is filed under the name Marmota monax (woodchuck). Its description in RNAcentral is "tRNA.Ile". The record is from RNAcentral. Lineage: Eukaryota; Metazoa; Chordata; Mammalia; Rodentia; Sciuridae.
GGUUAUGGCUCAGGGUAGAGUGUUCACCUAAUACGUGUGAGGCCCUGGGUUCGAUCCUCAGCACCA